Non-coding RNA from Glossina austeni, 108 nucleotides. NCBI's taxonomy places the organism in Eukaryota, Metazoa, Arthropoda, Insecta, Diptera, Glossinidae. The record is from Rfam.
CGAAGAGUGUGUGGCGGGUAGUUUUAGCACGUAGGCGCCACGGAUGGUGAAUCGUACAUGCUCCUGGCGCGAAUCAGCAGUAUCUUUCGAAGAUUUCUAUCUGCUUCG